GGCUCCUGCUGCUGUGGUGUGGGACCUUCGAACAGCCUGUGGAAGUCAUCCUGUGAGGAACUGUGGCCUCCCCCAAGCAGCGCAUAUUGGAGGCAGAGGCUCCAGCCCCAGUCAAACCCUUAGAUGAUGGCAGCCCCAGCCAACGUCGUGACGCAGCCUCCGGAGAGACCCUGAGCCAGGGCCACCCACCUGAACUUACCCUGGAUCCUGACACACAGAAACUGCAAGUCGAUAAAGGCACUGGGCUAAAUGCAUCAAAAGGAUCUCACCAUCUCCCCAGCAGCCCACAGGGAGCAGAGGUUUUCAUUACCAUCAUUCUCAGAGGACACGACUGGGGCUCAGAGAGGGGAAGAAACCUCUCCAGCUCGCAAAGCUGAUUCAUUCCCCAAAUGGAUGAGACCCCAGCACAGGAGAAAUGCAUGACAGCCGGAUAAUAAACCCGCAUAUCAGAACUGUCAGAUCGUCUUCAGAGCAAAAGGCAACAUGCUCUCCCGAGAACCCAUGCUCUUAACCAGUGCAUUGAGCUGCCUAUUUUCUCACACCUAUAUCAACAUGAAAUUGACAAAUAUUUUGAUCAUAGCCAACCUGGUAAGUAAAAAAAGAAAAAAAAUCUAAUUUUAGUUUGUAUUUUCUGUACUAUGACCAAGGUUGAACAUUUCUUCAAAUGUUUAAGAAAUAUGUUUUUCCCUUCUGUGAACUGUUUUUAAUGGUUGUCUUUUUUCCUUUUAUCUAUUGACUUUCUUGUUGGUUUAUAGAAGCUCUUUAUGUAUUAAACAGUCCUUCUGUGAUAUG
Molecule: long non-coding RNA, 792 nt
Organism: Pan troglodytes (chimpanzee)
Lineage: Eukaryota; Metazoa; Chordata; Mammalia; Primates; Hominidae
Exons: 4
Source: RefSeq, a predicted model, not a curated record